UUUCCUACGGGAGGCAGCAGUCGGGAAUAUUGCGCAAUGGAGGAAACUCUGACGCAGUGACGCCGCGUGCAGGAAGAAGGUCUUCGGAUUGUAAACUGCUUUAGAUAGGGAAGAAAAAAAUGACAGUACCUAUAGAAUAAGCUCCGGCUAACUACGUGCCAGCAGCCGCGGUAAUACGUAGGGGGCAAGCGUUAUCCGGAAUUACUGGGUGUAAAGGGAGCGUAGACGGCUGUGCAAGUCUGGAGUGAAAGGCGGGGGCCCAACCCCCGGACUGCUCUGGAAACUGUAUGGCUGGAGUGCAGGAG
Molecule: ribosomal RNA, 305 nt
Filed under: uncultured bacterium
Lineage: Bacteria
Description: bacterial SSU rRNA
Rfam family: Bacterial small subunit ribosomal RNA
Source: RNAcentral